Molecule: small nuclear RNA, 73 nt
Filed under: Anabas testudineus (climbing perch)
Lineage: Eukaryota; Metazoa; Chordata; Actinopteri; Anabantiformes; Anabantidae
Source: RNAcentral
GUGCUUGCUCAGGCAGCACAUAUGAUAAAUUGGAAUCGAUACAGAGAAGAUUAGCAUGGCCCCUGCGCAAAGA